GCAAGAUGAGAAAUCACUGCUACCCCAUGAAGUCAAAUGAUAAGAACGUUGUGAUCGACUGUGUGCAAGGCCACUGUUAAAUUGAGCAAAAUCAAGACUGACAGAAAACUCUGGGGUUGGCAAUCAUGAGUAGGAUCUAUCCUAUGCUCUCGAAGAUCUCAGUUUCUUGUGAAUGACAGAAGGACAUCAACAUAAGAGGCAAAACUCCAUGAUCAAUGUGAAGGAUUGUUUUUCUUCCUCCUACAAGGUUGUCAUUUCCAAGAAAAGUAUUUCAUGUAAUACUCAAAUUUUGAUCUCUGUGAAAGAAUGAAAAAUGGCUUCAAUCACUCCAGAAAACUGAACGUUCCUAAAUGACUGAAGUUUUAUAGCUUUUCUCCUAUUAAGAAAGCCCUUUGUUUAUGGAACAUGCAUUUUUUUUGCAUAAUAUUUU
Canis lupus familiaris (dog) is the source of this 430-nucleotide long non-coding RNA. RefSeq lists it as uncharacterized. NCBI's taxonomy places the organism in Eukaryota, Metazoa, Chordata, Mammalia, Carnivora, Canidae. The record is from RefSeq and is a predicted model, not a curated record. The transcript has 4 exons.